UACAGAGGGUGCGAGCGUUGUCCGGAAUCACUGGGCGUAAAGGGCGUGUAGGCGGGCAUGCAAGUCAGGCGUGAAAUCCCUGGGCUCAACCCAGGAAUUGCACUUGAAACUGCAUGUCUUGAGUAUCGGAGAGGAAAGCGGAAUUCCUGGUGUAGAGGUGAAAUUCGUAGAUAUCAGGAGGAACACCGGUGGCGAAGGCGGCUUUCUGGACGAUAACUGACGCUGAGACGCGAAAGCGUGGGGAGCAAACAGG
Molecule: ribosomal RNA, 253 nt
Filed under: uncultured bacterium
Lineage: Bacteria
Description: partial 16S ribosomal RNA
Rfam family: Bacterial small subunit ribosomal RNA
Source: RNAcentral